RNAcentral lists this long non-coding RNA (229 nucleotides) under Gossypium barbadense (sea-island cotton). RNAcentral's name for it is "long non-coding RNA (GBAR_LNC007460)". The record is from RNAcentral. Lineage: Eukaryota; Viridiplantae; Streptophyta; Magnoliopsida; Malvales; Malvaceae.
UAAGGAUAAUUCAUCCAAAAAUAUGCUAAGCAUGGGGUAAAAAUAUGUAUAAAUUACGGUUUAUCAAGGUUCAAAUUGGAAAAUAAAUCCAAUAAUUCCACACGGGUGUGGGACAUGGGCGUGUCCCAAAGCACACAAGCGUGUGCAUUGCAUCCACACGGGCGUGUGAGGCUUUAACCUAGAAAUUUUCUUAGAAUUUUUGUGAGUCCUUGGUUUAGUCCCAGCCGGC